CCUGGGUAACCCAAACUCUGGGCCGGAUAAACAAGCAGUUCUUUCUGAGGAUCACUCCCCAACCUGUACCUGCUUUCCUUUUAAUAAAUUCCUUGUAUAACUUCAGACUUUUGUCUGAGUUUCUUUCUUGUUGAAGACCCAAGCGGGGUGGGCUUGGGGGGCAUUCGACAUUUAACAGCCAUACUUUGAGGCCUAUACUAAUCUGGUCAGAGGAACUUAAAGGACUUUUUUUUUCUCCUUGCCCUGCAAGGUCAACUAAGUUCCAGGGGACUAUGGAACAUCUCUCAAACUGUGGUGAGUCACCUGUCCUCUUGUUCAGGGAGGCCAUGGAGACCCUGAGAGAUGGACUUGAACCAGUGUCCAGUCUACAGAGAGGAGAGUCAACACAGAGAAAACAUUUCCUCUGCACUUCCAAGUGAAACCAGCCAAGAAACCUUUGAGAGGGACCUGACACUGAUUCUAGCUACUCCAACAGCUAACAAAGUGCCUGAAAACAAAUCCCGAGUCCAUCACUCUCAAGUUCAGCCUUGGCAGAGAGAAGAAAAAUGAGGAGGAACCCAAUGGAGGGAUGCUUUUGGAAGCUCUUGUCAAGAAAUUCCAAUGGAGUCUGAUAUGAACAUUUGAAAUUUGCCCUGUUUUGACCUUUUUCUGGUUCCCUGUCUAGAACUUGUAAUGCUAACUACCCUUGCCUGUACUUCUUCACAUUCCCUAUUCACUGGUCAAGGACUUUCUUUUCUCUCUACAGUUAAGAGUUAUGCAAUUUGGGUCUUUUAGAUAGACCCACUGAAGGGGUACCCCAGUUGUCUCACCCUGUGUCCCUGCUCAGCAUGGAAGAAGCCAGAGUAGUCUGUGUCCUGAUUCUAUUGGCAAUUUGGGUAACCUUUUCAAGGGAUGGUGUGAUAAGAAUAGGAGGUAGGAAUUGGCUAGGCAGUUAGGGUAAAAAGACCCCAAAGAAAAGUAGCCAGUUUCUUGGCUAAAAUUUAAAAUGUCCUUGGGACUCUUAGCAACAUACUCUGUUCCAAAGACAAAAAAAAUGUCAAAAGCAUUUGGGAGCUCUUAUCUAAUCUCUAAAAGAGUUUAGGGUUACCCCUCCAGAAGAAGGAAUGUUAGAGUAGCAAAAAGCCCCAUUAGAAAAAAGAAAGACAAAGUUGUCAGGAAAAAGUGAUGGGGACAUAUGGGAAGAGUUGGAGCAGAGUCAGUGGGCAUGGAUUUGAUCAAAACACCUUAUAUGCAUGUAUAAAUUCUCAAUAAUUUUUUAAAAAAAGAUCCACCUGCCUCUUCCUCCUAAGUGCUGGGAUUAAAGGCAUGGGCCACCACACCUGGUUUCGAAACACAACUAUUUUUCAACAUUAAUAGUGAAGGAGAAAUCUUAGGCCCUGAUCAUUAUAUGGCAUUCCUCUGCACCUCUCACUUGGUAUUACAAUGUUCCUCGCAUGGUUGCACGAUCAGUUUUCCCUUUCUGGUGACUUUUUUUGAAGGCUGUGUCUCACACCUCACCCCUCCCCACCCCCAGACUGACCUUUCUGAUAUAACUCAAUCCCAAUUACUGGACCCGAGUCCUGCAUGACUGACUCUCCCCACAAUGGGAAAACUGAAAGGCAAAACUAACUCCAUUUUGUUGUAGCCGACUUUUGCUUUAUCUUGUGUUUUUGUCAUCCAUUUCCACUGUAGCCAGCCAGGCAGAAUGUCUCAUGCAGGUAGUUUCAGGGAAUACAUUGUUUCUAAAAUACUGGGAAACUUACAAGCAGCCAGGUAGCAUGUCCAGGUAACAUGUUCAUCCACCCAGCCUAACAGAAGCUUUUUCUUAACUGAAAAUGCCUUUGUUAAUUGACUUACCCCUAGUCUGGUGUAACUAUGGUGAUCUGAUGUAAUUAUGGCUAUUGGCUUUGCCCUGGCAAGAUACAAUUGUGGUUUUAAACUUUAUAAACCCUUCUCUGCUUCUCCUCAAGGUUGAGAGGCCUUUGGGGGUGUUAUCCCCCUCUCUGAUUGCUGGCUAUUAAUAAAGAACUAAUUCAACUGUCAC
Long non-coding RNA from Nannospalax galili (Upper Galilee mountains blind mole rat), 2023 nucleotides. NCBI's taxonomy places the organism in Eukaryota, Metazoa, Chordata, Mammalia, Rodentia, Spalacidae. The record is from Ensembl.